UGCAGUCGAACGGAAACGAUAGAAGCUUGCUUCUAGGCGUCGAGUGGCGGACGGGUGAGUAAUGCUUGGGAAUCUGCCUAAUAGUGGGGAACAACUCGGGGAAACUCGGGCUAAUACCGCAUAAUCUCUUCGGAGGAAAGGGGGCCUCUACAUGUAAGCUCUCGCUAAUAGAUGAGCCCAAGUCAGAUUAGCUUGUUGGUAAGGUAACGGCUUACCAAGGCUACGAUCUGUAGCUGGUCUGAGAGGAUGAUCAGCCACACUGGGACUGAGACACAGCCCAGACUCCUACGGGAGGCAGCAGUAGGGAAUAUUGGACAAUGAGCGAAAGCUUGAUCCAGCUAUGCCGCGUGUGCGAUGACGGCCCUCGGGUUGUAAAGCACUUUAAUCAGAGAAGAAGCAUUUUAAGUUAAUACCUUAAUAUGUUGACGUUACCUGAAGAAUAAGGACCGGAUAACUCCGUGCCAGCAGCCGCGGUAAUACGGAGGGUCCAAGCGUUAAUCGGAAUUACUGGGCGUAAAGCGCGCGUAGGCGGAUUAGCAAGUAGUAUGUGAAAAGCCCCGGGCUCAACCCUAGGAACUGCAUCCAAAACUACUAAGCUAGAGUACGAGAGAGGACAGUAGACAAACUGGUGUAGCGGUGCAAUGCGUAGAUAUAAGAAGGACUACCAAAGGCGAAAGCAGACACUGGCCCACAACGACGCUGAAGGGGAAAGAGGGGUAGACACAGGAUAGAACCCGGUA
This 740-nucleotide ribosomal RNA is filed under the name uncultured Gammaproteobacteria bacterium. RNAcentral describes it as "bacterial SSU rRNA". It matches the Rfam family "Bacterial small subunit ribosomal RNA", at positions 56 to 792 of the family's 1533-position model. Lineage: Bacteria; Pseudomonadati; Pseudomonadota; Gammaproteobacteria. The record is from RNAcentral.